UUCCUUACCUCAUUUCUUCAUUCAAAAAAAGUAAUGAUAAUGUUAUUUUAAGUUGUAAAGAUAAGCUAAGUCAUAACCAAUACUUUUUAAUACUUAAAUUAUUAAAUAUAUAAAAUUUACUCACUCAUAAAUGAAUAGUGUGGUUGAAGAUGGUGUAUAGAUAUUAUAAAACCAAAUAUUUUGUUUUCAAAAUUAAACUUUAAUAGAAUCGUAAGAUUUUCUACCACAAUUUUUGCCAUUCUUUUGUCUUACUUUUCAUAUUUAAACAUGAUAUUCACCUCCAAAUGUGCAAGACUAGGAGAACCUUAUGAUUAGUAUUAUAUUUUUUUAUCCUAGUUUCAAAGAUAAUAAUAGAAAGAUUACUCAGAAAGAUAAGACCUAAAAAGACCUAUUAUUUUAGAUUAGAUUAAUUAUAUUAAAUAUACUAGUGACAACAAAAUGUUAAACAUAUGGAAAAGAAAUUUUAUAUCAUGGGAACAUCUUCAAAGGAGUAUAUAAUAUGCAUAAAAAUAUGAAAUAGUUAUAACCUCUUCAGUGUCCCCUUGGUAAGAGAGUGCCAUGUAUUUAGGAAAGUUACCUCCUUUAUUUGAAAGAAAUCCAAUAAAAUUCUUUGGUUCUAAUAGAUAUAUUCUUAUAAUAAAUGAGUAUUUCUAUUAAGGUAUACUAAUACAUAUUUCUUUGUAAUAAGUGAGUAUUUCUAUGUAUUAAGUCGGUUCAUUACUUCAGUGCAUUAAAUGCAAGAGAGUUUAGGUGUUUAAGGGAAACACACAAAUACAUUUUAAAUAUAUACACUUCGGGAAAGGGUUGAUAACAAGUAAUAGCAGAAAGUAGUUUGGGAAUAAACAUGGUACUCAAUCAUGCAUAAUAUCGUGUACAGUUAUGCUAUGCUCAUUCUACUUUCUGAUUACCAUUCUGAUUAACACUUUCCGUAACUACUUUCUGUAUAUAAGACCACGCUGGGACUAAUGCUGGAAUCCAUGAAGACAGCCUAAAAAAAAAAGCAAUGGAGGAGAAAAGAAGAAAAACAAAGAGGGAAAGAAAGAGAGAGAAAGAAAGAGAAAGAAAGAGGGAAAGAGAUAAAGAAAAAGGAAGGAAGGGAGGAAGGAAGAAAGGAAGAAAGAAAGGAAGAAAGGAAGGAAGAAAGAAAGAGAAAGAAAAGAAAGGAAGAAAGGAAGGAAGGAAGGAAGAAAUGCUCGUGUAUUAUUUUUUACAUUAAUAAAUGUAGGUUGGUGACUACUUUAUUUAAUUUUUUUCAAUAAUUUUAAUUUAAAAUAUAAAAUUUUAUUCAUUUUCACAAGCAAUUAAAGGAGCAUCAUUUUACUCUUUACUGUUAUAAAAAUCAUAAGAGAAGAUUAUUUUCACAGAGUAUCUGAACAUUAUUAUUUCUUGUUUGAUGAAAGAUAAUACAUUAACUGAUAAAUCAGGAAGUGUCUUAUAUAAAUAUAACCCAGUUUAAGCACAGAAUUCUUAGCCAUUUUGAUUUGAUAUAAUAGGUACAAAUAAUUUAAAUAGAAAAGAUAUCAAUAGUUUAGUGUAAUUAAUAGAAAUCAUCUUUGAAAAAAAUUUGAAGGGCUAUUGUCAUUUGCAAAACUAUGAGAGAUGGAGUGCCAAGGAAAAUAAGCAACGGUAUUCAGGUUAUGAUAUUACAAAUACGAAUUUUCAAGAAGAUAUUAGAUUUGAAACCAAACGUGCCUGAGGAAGAAAUUAGUUUUUAAAUAAUUUUACCUUCCAUUUUAACCAUCAAAGACUUAAACUCUAAACUAGAUAGUGGUAGGAAGCCCUGGGCUGAUAGGAGGAAAUAAACAGACACUCAGAAUCCUGGGCACUAUAGAACAAAUAUCAGGAAAGGAAUCUGGCAUAUAUAUGUCCUGAUUCCUUCUCUCUGGAUUUGGCCUUCAGUAGUGGAUGUGGUCAGUUUAUUGGUAAGGAAGCUGAGGAUGAGGAGCUCCUGUCCACUUCUCCAUUUGGGACACUUGGAAAAGUCCACUGUACAAAGAAGCCUAUGCCUCCAUGAGGUGGAGGGUUAUGGUUGUGGUUAUGGUUAAGGGGCCAUAAGUAAAUAGAGUCUGGAAUGAUCUCCCAAGGUUUUCGCUUCCUAAGUGGCAAGAGCCUGCUAUGAUAGAGUGGAGUGACUCGACCAAGGAUCCAAUCAGAAGAGUGGCAAAGAGUCUGCAAAGCAGCAAGGGCUGAGUAAGCAGGGAGCUGUUGAUUCAGUAAGGAAAAAUUGCAUUUUGUGUUCAUCAGCCCCAGAUGUCCGCAGCAAAUGCCAGCAGAAAAUCCUGAGAAAGGACCAGGCCAACCAAAUACUGCAGCAGACAAGGAACACCCACUCUGCAAUGGUCUGAAAACCGGUAAGCAUCUGAUGGAUCCAAAGACUCUUCCCUUUUCCCUUGUAUGUUCAUAAAAGUCCUCAAUUGGCUCUAUCCCCAAAGUCAGCCUAACACCAUUUUUGUGACUAUCAAGUGCGUGGGAAGAAUGAAAAUAAAAGUCAAACAGUCAUUUUCCAAAGAGUAAGUAUUUUCUUAAAGGACUGUUAAAAUUAUUGGAUUGGGUAGUUUUAAACCAAUUUGGAGUAAAUGUAGCUUUUUAUUUCCACUAAUCAUAAGAGAAGCCAGAACUAUUGUAGACAAAAUAAAACAAAGAAAUUGAUUUUUCUUGUUUCUCUGCUCAUGUGAGCAACAGUGGCAUCUCUGUGACACCAAUACAAGUGAGCAUAACAAGCAUUGAUGUUGCAAAGGUUAAAGAUUUAUGAAUUAGAAAACGGAACUACGAGGUAAUAAUUUUCAAUUUCUUUGCAUUUUACAUACAUAAAUUUUUUUUUAACAACACAGUUAUUAUUUUACAGCUGAGGCUAAUAAAGUUUAAGUGACGUACUUAGUCUUGAGCUUUAAAAUACUAACCUUGGCAUUCUUCGUAUAAAUUCUUCUGCUAGAUUAUGUGGUACCAAUCAAUAACUUCAUUUAUAUUCAUAUUUGAAUUAUAAUAACAUUAUUUAGGUAUGUGUACAUGUAUAAUUUAAGAUACAGGUUUAGUUAUGUUAUAUUUUUCUAUAAUAAAGUUUAUGGUUAAAAUCAAGAAUCUCUGCCUAUUAUUUGGUUCAGAAUAAGUAGUUGAGUACAGACAUGAGAAAUUGAUAUUGUAAUCAUUGGAAAAAGAGGAAUGUAAUUAUUUUAAUUCAAAAGGACUAUAAAGCUAACUUUUAUAAAAUUAUAUAAAAACAAAAAAAUGUACUUAUAUCUUUCCAAAAUUUGGAACAUAAUCAUAUGGGAAGAAGGAUGAACUGAAUUUAUCUGGAAGGUCUUCAAUUCCCUGCAAUAUUAGGAAGAUAACUCAUAAGCACACCAAAACUGUAAUAGUGCAAAUUUAAUACCCAGACUGCGUGGUGAAAAUAAAAACAAUCCCUAUUGAUUUCUUUAAAAUUUUAUUGGAGUAUAGUUUAUUUACAACAUUGUGUUAAUUUCUAGUGUACAGAAAAAUGAUUUAGUUGUACAUAUACAUGUAUCUAUACUUUUUCAAAUACUUUUCCCAUAUAGGUUAUUACAGAAUAUUGAUUAAAGUUCCCUAUGCUCUACAGUAGUUCCUUGUUGAUUAUCUCCUCUCUAUAUAGUAGUGAGUAUAUGUUAAUCUCAAACUCCUAAUAUAUCCCUUCCACCCACAUUCAUGUCCUCUUUUGUAACCAUAAAUUUGUUUUUGAAAUCUGUAAAUCUGUUUUUCUUUUGUAAAUAAGUUUAUUUGUAUCAUUUGAAAAUUAGAUUUCACAUGUAAGUGAUAUCACAUGAUAUUUCCCUUUGUCUAACUUACUUCACUUAGUUUGAUAAUCUCUAGGUCCACCCAUGUUGCUGAAAACGGUAUUUUUUGUUCUUUAUUAUGGCUGAGUAACAUUCCAUUGUACCACAUGUACCACUUCUUCUUUAUCCAUUUUCCUGUCAAUUGCCAUUGAGGUUGCUUCCAUGUCUUGGCUAUUGUAACUCAUAAAAUGACUCUUGAAAUAUUAUUCAUUCAUUUAAUCCUAUCUUACCACUAAAAGACUUCCUAAGUGGACAUGACAGCACAUCCCAAAGUUUCUACUAUUGUGAGGGAGCUCCUAUUUUGUAGUAUAAUUACUUUGCUAUAUUAUUGAUUAUCUCACAACUUAACACAUGUCUGUGAUAAAUAUGCCUUUAAGAUAGUAGGCAUUCAAUAAAAGUAUUUUAUAACAAUAAUGGUAACAAGUAUAACUGGCAUACAUAGGUUUAGAGCAAGUACUAAUUAUUCUUAAGUAUUUAAAUUCAUGGAAGUAGAAUAUCUAGGCAGAUUUUAAACUGGCCACAGCAUUCAAAGUGAUCUGGGUGUUUGUCAGUGCGUCUCUGAAAAAAGUGAAUAAUAUCUGUUAAAAGAGUGUAGAUUUUAUAUUUCACCUGUAUAUUUUAUACUAGUUUUAAUUGAAUUCAGUGUUUAAUAUAAUUAAGUCCCAUUUGUUUAUUUUUGGUUUUUAUUAUCUUCAUUACUCAAGAAAGAUUUUUUCAGAGUUCCCAUUGUGGCUCAGUGGGUUAAGAACCAACUAGUAUCCAUGAGGAUGCAGAUUCAAUCCCUCGCCUCACCUCCUGGGUGAAGGAUCCAGUGUUGCUGAAAGCUGUGUCAUGGGUCACAGAUGAGGCUCAGGUCUGGGUUGCUGUGGCUGUGGUAUAGGCUGGCAGCAGCUCCAUUUCAACCCCUAGCCUGGGAACUUCCAUAUGCCAUGG
Molecule: long non-coding RNA, 4721 nt
Filed under: Sus scrofa (pig)
Lineage: Eukaryota; Metazoa; Chordata; Mammalia; Artiodactyla; Suidae
Description: lncRNA (ENSSSCG00000045594.2)
Source: RNAcentral